RNAcentral lists this unclassified non-coding RNA (480 nucleotides) under Cladosporium xanthochromaticum. RNAcentral describes it as "sequence contains ITS1, 5.8S rRNA gene and ITS2". The stretch from base 124 to 277 matches the Rfam family "5.8S ribosomal RNA". Lineage: Eukaryota; Fungi; Ascomycota; Dothideomycetes; Cladosporiales; Cladosporiaceae. The record is from RNAcentral.
AACCCUUUGUGUGUCCGACUCUGUUGCCUCCGGGGCGACCCUGCCUUCGGGCGGGGGCUCCGGGUGGACACUUCAAACUCUUGCGUAACUUUGCAGUCUGAGUAAACUUAAUUAAUAAAUUAAAACUUUUAACAACGGAUCUCUUGGUUCUGGGAUCGAUGAACAACGCAGCGAAAUGCGAUAAGUAAUGUGAAUUGCAGAAUUCAGUGAAUCAUCGAAUCUUUGAACGCACAUUGCGCCCCCUGGUAUUCCGGGGGGCAUGCCUGUUCGAGCGUCAUUUCACCACUCAAGCCUCGCUUGGUAUUGGGCAACGCGGUCCGCCGCGUGCCUCAAAUCGACCGGCUGGGUCUUCUGUCCCCUAAGCGUUGUGGAAACUAUUCGCUAAAGGGUGCUCGGGAGGCUACGCCGUAAAACAACCCCAUUUCUAAGGUUGACCUCGGAUCAGGUAGGGAUACCCGCUGAACUUAAGCAUAUCAAUAA